UACGGGAGGGCAGCAGUGGGGAAUAUUGCACAAUGGGCGAAAGCCUGAUGCAGCUAUGCCGCGUGUAUGAAGAAGGCCUUAGGGUUGUAAAGUACUUUCAUCGGGGAGGAAAAACAAAACUAAUAAUUUUAUUUCUUGACGUUACCCGAAAAAGAAGCACCGGCUAACUCCGUGCCAGCAGCCGCGGUAAUACGGAGGGUGCUAGCGUUAAUCAGAAUUACUGGGCGUAAAGAGCACGUAGGUGGUUUUUUUAAGUCAGAUGUGAAUCCCUGGGCUUAACCUGGAACUGCAUUUUGAAACUGAAAUACUAGAGUAUCGUAGAGGGAGGUAGAAUUCUAGGUGUAGCGGUGAAAUGCGUAGAUAUCUGGAGGAAUACCUGUGGCGAAAGCGGCCUCCUAAACGAAUACUGACACUGAGGUGCGAAAGCGUGGGGAGCAAACAGGGAUUAGAUACC
RNAcentral lists this ribosomal RNA (454 nucleotides) under uncultured bacterium. RNAcentral's name for it is "bacterial SSU rRNA". It matches the Rfam family "Bacterial small subunit ribosomal RNA", at positions 340 to 786 of the family's 1533-position model. The record is from RNAcentral.